Molecule: ribosomal RNA, 1343 nt
Filed under: uncultured bacterium
Lineage: Bacteria
Description: 16S ribosomal RNA
Rfam family: Bacterial small subunit ribosomal RNA
Source: RNAcentral
GACGAACGUUGGCGGCGUGCUUAACACAUGCAAGUCGAACGGAAAGGCCCUGCUUUUGUGGGGUGCUCGAGUGGCGAACGGGUGAGUAACACGUGAGUAACCUGCCCUUGACUUUGGGAUAACUUCAGGAAACUGGGGCUAAUACCGGAUAGGAGCUCCUGCUGCAUGGUGGGGGUUGGAAAGUUUCGGCGGUUGGGGAUGGACUCGCGGCUUAUCAGCUUGUUGGUGGGGUAGUGGCUUACCAAGGCUUUGACGGGUAGCCGGCCUGAGAGGGUGACCGGCCACAUUGGGACUGAGAUACGGCCCAGACUCCUACGGGAGGCAGCAGUGGGGAAUAUUGCACAAUGGGCGGAAGCCUGAUGCAGCAACGCCGCGUGCGGGAUGACGGCCUUCGGGUUGUAAACCGCUUUCGCCUGUGACGAAGCGUGAGUGACGGUAAUGGGUAAAGAAGCACCGGCUAACUACGUGCCAGCAGCCGCGGUGAUACGUAGGGUGCGAGCGUUGUCCGGAUUUAUUGGGCGUAAAGGGCUCGUAGGUGGUUGAUCGCGUCGGAAGUGUAAUCUUGGGGCUUAACCCUGAGCGUGCUUUCGAUACGGGUUGACUUGAGGAAGGUAGGGGAGAAUGGAAUUCCUGGUGGAGCGGUGGAAUGCGCAGAUAUCAGGAGGAACACCAGUGGCGAAGGCGGUUCUCUGGGCCUUUCCUGACGCUGAGGAGCGAAAGCGUGGGGAGCGAACAGGCUUAGAUACCCUGGUAGUCCACGCUGUAAACGGUGGGUACUAGGUGUGGGGUCCAUUCCACGGGUUCCGUGCCGUAGCUAACGCUUUAAGUACCCCGCCUGGGGAGUACGGCCGCAAGGCUAAAACUCAAAGGAAUUGACGGGGCCCCGCACAAGCGGCGGAGCAUGCGGAUUAAUUCGAUGCAACGCGUAGAACCUUACCUGGGUUUGACAUGGAUCGGGAGUGCUCAGAGAUGGGUGUGCCUCUUUUGGGGUCGGUUCACAGGUGGUGCAUGGCAGUCGUCAGCUCGUGUCGUGAGAUGUUGGGUUAAGUCCCGCAACGAGCGCAACCCUUGUUCACUGUUGCCAGCACGUUAUGGUGGGGACUCAGUGGAGACCGCCGGGGUCAACUCGGAGGAAGGUGGGGAUGACGUCAAGUCAUCAUGCCCCUUAUGUCCAGGGCUUCACGCAUGCUACAAUGGCUGGUACAGAGAGUGGCGAGCCUGUGAGGGUGAGCGAAUCUCGGAAAGCCGGUCUCAGUUCGGAUUGGGGUCUGCAACUCGACCUCAUGAAGUCGGAGUCGCUAGUAAUCGCAGAUCAGCAACGCUGCGGUGAAUACGUUCCCGGG